Non-coding RNA from Triticum aestivum (bread wheat), 116 nucleotides. NCBI's taxonomy places the organism in Eukaryota, Viridiplantae, Streptophyta, Magnoliopsida, Poales, Poaceae. The record is from Rfam.
UAGGGUACCCUCUGACCCUUCUUAGUUCAACCAAAUGAACUAAAUUUUCAAAAAUGAUGUGAAUUCUGAAAAUUUAGUUCAUUUAGUUGAACUAAGUAGGGUUGAAGGGUACCCUG